Molecule: ribosomal RNA, 460 nt
Filed under: uncultured bacterium
Lineage: Bacteria
Description: partial 16S ribosomal RNA
Rfam family: Bacterial small subunit ribosomal RNA
Source: RNAcentral
CCUACGGGAGGCAGCAGUGAGGAAUAUUGGUCAAUGGACGAGAGUCUGAACCAGCCAAGUAGCGUGAAGGAUGACUGCCCUAUGGGUUGUAAACUUCUUUUAUAUGGGAAUAAAACGUUCCACGUGUGGGAUUUUGUAUGUACCAUAUGAAGAAGGAUCGGCUAACUCCGUGCCAGCAGCCGCGGUAAUACGGAGGAUCCGAGCGUUAUCCGGAUUUAUUGGGUUUAAAGGGAGCGUAGGUGGAUUGUUAAGUCAGUUGUGAAAGUUUGCGGCUCAACCGUAAAAUUGCAGUUGAAACUGGCAGUCUUGAGUACAGUAGAGGUGGGCGGAAUUCGAGGUGUAGCGGUGAAAUGCUUAGAUAUCUCGAAGAACUCCGAUUGCGAAGGCAGUUCACUGGACUGCAACUGACACUGAGGCUCGAAAGUGUGGGUAUCAAACAGGAUUAGAUACCCGAGUAGUC